RNAcentral lists this ribosomal RNA (483 nucleotides) under uncultured bacterium. RNAcentral describes it as "partial 16S ribosomal RNA". It matches the Rfam family "Bacterial small subunit ribosomal RNA", at positions 28 to 523 of the family's 1533-position model. The record is from RNAcentral.
GACGAACGCUGGCGGCGUGCUUAACACAUGCAAGUCGAACGAUGAUGCCCAGCUUGCUGGGUGGAUUAGUGGCGAACGGGUGAGUAACACGUGAGUAACCUGCCCCUGACUCUGGGAUAAGCGUUGGAAACGACGUCUAAUACUGGAUAUGACUGCCGGCCGCAUGGUCUGGUGGUGGAAAGAUUUUUUGGUUGGGGAUGGACUCGCGGCCUAUCAGCUUGUUGGUGAGGUAAUGGCUCACCAAGGCGACGACGGGUAGCCGGCCUGAGAGGGUGACCGGCCACACUGGGACUGAGACACGGCCCAGACUCCUACGGGAGGCAGCAGUGGGGAAUAUUGCACAAUGGGCGAAAGCCUGAUGCAGCAACGCCGCGUGAGGGAUGACGGCCUUCGGGUUGUAAACCUCUUUUAGUAGGGAAGAAGCGAAAGUGACGGUACCUGCAGAAAAAGCACCGGCUAACUACGUGCCAGCCGCCGCCGUAA